This 477-nucleotide ribosomal RNA is filed under the name uncultured bacterium. RNAcentral describes it as "partial 16S ribosomal RNA". It matches the Rfam family "Bacterial small subunit ribosomal RNA", at positions 28 to 507 of the family's 1533-position model. The record is from RNAcentral.
GAUUAACGCUGGCGGCGUGCAUAACACAUGCAAGUCGAACGAUGAAACUUUAAUGAACCCUUCGGGGAGAAUUAAAGCGGAUUAGUGGCGAACGGGUGAGUAACGCGUGAGUAACCUGCCUUACACAAGGGGAUAGCCUUUGGACACGAAGGAUAAUACCCUAUAAAACCAUAAAAGCACAUGCAAUUAUGGUCAAAGUGAUAGCGGUGUAAGAUGGACUUGCGUCUGAUUAGCUAGUUGGAGAGAUAAAAGCCCACCAAGGCAACGAUCAGUAGCCGGCGUGAGAGAGUGUACGGCCACAUUGGGACUGAGACACGACCCAGACGCCUACGAGAGGCAGGAGUGGGGAAUUUUGCACAAGGGGGGAAACCCUGAUGCAGCGACGCCGCGUGAUUUAGAAUGCCUUCGGGUUGUAAAAAUCUUUUGGAUAGGAAGAAAAUGACAGUACUAUACGAAUAAGGUCCGGCUAAUUACGUG